Molecule: ribosomal RNA, 404 nt
Filed under: uncultured bacterium
Lineage: Bacteria
Description: partial 16S ribosomal RNA
Rfam family: Bacterial small subunit ribosomal RNA
Source: RNAcentral
GAUGAACGCUGACAGAAUGCUUAACACAUGCAAGUCAACUGUGGCGGACGGGUGAGUAACGCGUAAAGUACUUGCCUCACAGCUAGGGACAACAUUUGGAAACGAAUGCUAAUACCUGAUACUGUGAGAGAGCGUUGCGUCCCAUUAGCUAGUUGGAGAGGUAACGGCUCACCAAGGCGAUGAUGGGUAGCCGGCCUGGGAGGGUGAUCGGCCACAAGGGGACUGGGACACUGCCCGUAGGCCUACGGGGAGAAUGAGGGGGGAAUAUAGCAAGAUAGACCAAAGUAUGAUGCAGCAAUUCGGGGUGCACAAUAAAGUUUUCGGAAAGAAAAGUGAUGUCAUUUGAGGAGCAGUACCAACAGAAGAAGUGACGGCUAAAUACGUGCCAGCAGCCGCGGUAAUUC